AUACGGAGGAUCCGAGCGUUAUCCGGAUUUAUUGGGUUUAAAGGGAGCGUAGGCGGACGCUUAAGUCAGUUGUGAAAGUUUGCGGCUCAACCGUAAAAUUGCAGUUGAUACUGGGUGUCUUGAGUACAGUAGAGGCAGGCGGAAUUCGUGGGGGUGCGGGGAAAUGCUUAGAUAUUACGAAGAAAUCAGAUUGCGAAGGCAGCCUGCUGGACUGUAACUGACGCUGAUGCUCGAAAGUGUGGGUAUCAAACAGGAUUAGAUACCCUGGUAGUCCACACAGUAAACGAUGAAUACUCGCUGUUUGCGAUAUACAGUAAGCGGCCAAGCGAAAGCGUUAAGUAUUCCACCUGGGGAGUACGCCGGCAACGGUGAAACUCAAAGGAAUUGACGGGG
This 393-nucleotide ribosomal RNA is filed under the name uncultured bacterium. RNAcentral describes it as "partial 16S ribosomal RNA". It matches the Rfam family "Bacterial small subunit ribosomal RNA", at positions 523 to 918 of the family's 1533-position model. The record is from RNAcentral.